RNAcentral lists this long non-coding RNA (12711 nucleotides) under Chlamydomonas reinhardtii. RNAcentral describes it as "long non-coding RNA (CREI_LNC000726)". Lineage: Eukaryota; Viridiplantae; Chlorophyta; Chlorophyceae; Chlamydomonadales; Chlamydomonadaceae. The record is from RNAcentral.
UUCGCGCUAGGAGCUGCUAGCUCGUGACAGUGGUGGUGCUUGCCGCAGCUUUCAUGCGCAUGCGGUGGAAAUCGAGAGAGGUCGCGAACAGCCCUAGAAAUGCUCUUCUUUGCCGUCAGGUGCUCGUAGCUAAGCAGUGGGCGUAAAAGCUGUUUGUGAGAUGUCUUUGCAUCUGUUGAAUGUGCAAUAUGAGCACAGCGCGAAGCUUUUAUCCAGUGGCGGGGACAGGGUCUCGGGCGCCCAUGCAGGCGACACGCGCCCAAUCCCGAGCCUCCCACUCCUCGCCUGUACCUUGUCCCUGGACCCGCGCCAUCCGUGUCCCGCUGUUCAAUUCCCGCGUUUCAUACCAGCUCCCCUCCCCUGCGUAGGCCGGUAACCCCUGAUCCCGCCGCUGCCGGGGAUGCAGCCGUGCAGGAUGAGGUUGACGGCUGGGGAAGUUGUUGUGGGGAAGUUGGUGUAGGUUGGCGGUGAUCCAGCGGGGUGGGUGCCGAUGUGCUAUAGCGGGCGCGAGGCUGUACACGUCAGGAUCUGGCGAGUGUACUGCUCAAGCUGGCUUUGUGAUGGCCCCCAAGCGUAGGUGAGGUAGGCGCACGGCGGUGACAAGGCAUGCGGCCAGUGGAACUGCCUUACAGUUACAGCCCGCCCAAGCGCGGUUGUUGCCCUGCCAUGAUUUCCGUGCAGUCUGCUAGCUUCGGCAGGGACGGUGCCCAUCAGUUCCCGAUGUUGACAAACCAUGCAUCCAGCCGCCCACACGUGCUCUUCGUUCGUCACAUACCGUACUCGAACUCCAAUGUCCACAGAGCGUGUGCGCGAAAUCCACACGCCACACACGCAAGUGACAGCCGCCCGUCCUUGCACAGCAAGCAUCUCCGCGCACGGUCGCACGCUUCUCUAGCCCCAACGAACCGCAAACCACAAAUCAAGUCACACCCACCUCAGCAUUAGAAGUGCACACCCGCCUAUCGAAUGUCGGAUGAUGAUAAGGCAACAAGUAGGUCUAGAGAAAUGAAAGCUAGUAGGUCUACUGCACCCAUGCAUGGAUGGAAAGAAUCAAUGGACCUGUGGAUAUAGGAUCCGGCCUUCUCAAGGGUCCUCGCGCAUUUACUAAAGAGCCAAGGGGUCUAGUAUGUAAGAAUCAAUGCCAGUCUCAAGUCAAGCACACUGCUGCCGCUUCCUGGCAUCUGGAAUGCCGGAAGGGUCGGAGGAACUUGCACCCACAGAACGUACACGUCGUGUCACUGACAGCCCACUCGAGUCUUGUAAACAGUAAGAAUAGUGCCCGCUCCUGCAGCGAGCCAAGAUACGGUAACCUCGAUACUUCUUUGUGUCUCACCGCGGUACGCGCACAGACAUUAAUCUGCGGGCUCCCUCUCCGCACUCCUUCUGUCACUCCCGUGCGUCAGGUCGUUUCCGACGUCGCCUCCACUCCAUCUCCUACGUCCCAUGACUCACCUGUAGCCCCAGGCAGCCCUGCGUCCAUUGGCACAGCGCCCCUCGCCACCUGCCACCCUCUCGCUCAGCAAAUGAACGCACGCACGAUAGCAAAACACCAGCAGUCCGUAGUAUGGCCAAGGGGGGCUGCCGGUUCCCCGGUCCCAUACAGUCACACAUACAUCUUAUUAAGAAACAUCAGCAGGGUUUAUUUGGCGAGUCUCAGUAGAGAAAUAGACAUCCCUACAUCACCCAAUGCGCAUGGCAAUAUCGCACUGAGUGCUUGCUUGCGCAAGCAAUCCAGCAUCAAGUGCGGCCUUUGACACUCCCGCUCGCUCACAUACGGUGUAUUAUCAGUACAGCACGGCAACACUCGCGCGAAUCAGUCCUGUCUCCUGCGGUAAACGCCGACUACCGUAGCACGCCCUGCUGUCGUGCUGACAAUGAGAAAUGUGCGGCGGCACAGCCCUGCUGGUUCACUUGAUAGUGAAUGGGCCCGAUCAGUAGCUAGUAGCGGCGAUUAGCCUAGCUGUCUAUACUUGCACGCAUACGCUGCGGGUGUGCCUCACAUACCAUAAUACCCAGUGCUGCUUCUUUCGCAUAUAACACACGCUCAGCAUGCCCUGCUGGCUCACUUCGAUACUGUGCCAUCCACACACGUACGUGUGACGAGCCCCUCUUGCGAACGGCCGCCGGCACCACAGCUGCGGCGGCUGCGGCUGCUGCUGCUCCUGCUGCUGCUACUGCUACUGCUGCAUCUUCAAAUGGCGAGGGCAGCAAGCCGCUGGCUGCAGGGCUCAUGCAGCUGACGGCGUAACACGGAAGCCAAACGAAACGGAGCGGCCCUUGCCGCUACCAGGCCGCCACCGCUGCCGGUGGCGGGAAGCAGCCGCACGCGCGCUCCAACGCGGCAAACUCCUCCAGCUCCCGCUCCUGCUCAGCCCACGCCGCCGCCGCCAGCUCCAUCGCCAGGCGCAGGCGCGAGGGCAUCACAGCUGACUGCCACUCAUCACCCUGCUGCACCGCCGCGAUCGGCGGAACGACACAGCUGCCCAUGCUGCUGCCGGCGGCGGUGCAGGCCUCCUUGUCAGCGCUAUGCUCCUCCACUGCCGCCUCCACCAACUCCACCUGCUGCGGCGUCUCACUGCCUGCCGCCGCCGCCACCCAGACCAGACUGCAGCUGCUGGCGCUGCGGCUGGUGCGGGCGCUGUCCGGCACGGCGCAGCAGCACGAGCUGAGCGGCGAGUCAGGCGCGUCCAGCCGCUCAGUGACGACGGCCACCUCCUGCGCCGCUUCGGCCGCCGCCGGCACGCACUCGCCCUGGGCCUCUGCUUUCCCCAUCGCCGCCAGCUCCGCCGCCAUCCAGGGCGACAGCGAGGCGAGGUAGGCGCCGAAAUCGCCGGCCUCCUCCGCCUCAACGUCAUCCGCCCAGCGGCGGCCGUUGGGGGUGCCGCCGGUGCCGCUGGCAGCUGCCGCCGCCGCCUGCUCCGCCAGGCCCUCCUUCAGCCAAUCUGCGAGCGACCCGAGGUCGAGCUCCUCCUCCGCCUCCUCAUGCGCCUCAACCUCAUCCGCCCAGCUACCGCUCGCGCCACCGCUGCUGCUAAUGCUGGCGCGAGGAGCAAUGCUGCUGCUGCUGCUGCUGCUGCUGCUGCUGCUGCUGCUGCUGCCGUCAGACUCUGACGCUGCCGCGGGCACGGCCGGUGCGGCUUCCGCCUGCUGCUGCUCGGCCGCCGCGAGCUCCGCCAGUCCCUGCUUCACCCAGGGCGUCUGCUCAAAGAGGUCGCUCAGGUCGAGUCCGUCAGCCUCAUCCUCAUCAUCAUCGCCCCAUCGCGGCGUGGUCGAGCUGCGGUCGACGGUGGAGGUGGAGAUGGGGCUUGCAGCGGCGGCGGGCUUGGUCGGGGCGGCGGGCUUGGUCGGAGCCGCGAGCUUGGGCACCUUGGGCAGGCCGGGCGGCUUCUGCGGGCGCCAGUGGUUGUCGUAGGCAUGGCAAAGCUGGCAAGGGGCGCUCCUGCAGCCAGCAGAUAGGCUGGCAUAGCACCAGCGCAUGCAGGACUUGUGAGGAAAGCAGCAGGCGCUGGGGGCGGGCUCCUGCUGCUCCUGCUGGUGGGCGGCGGCGGAGGGCUCGCUCUCAUCAGAGCCGUGGCCUUGGCUGCGGGGCGUGUGGCGCCAGGCGUCCUGUGCAAACGAGAUCGGGGGAAAAGGAUAGAUGGGGGCGGACAAGCCGUGAGUGCACGGGACGAGGACAAGGGUCGGGGCGCAGAGGGCGGGAGAAAGGGCCGGGGGUCGGGGGCUCGGGCCCCGGCAAAAAAGUCAGGCGCACCGGAAAGGCACGCGCUUUCGGUCAAAGCUGUUGACCGACGCAUUUUACGAGACAAUACAUGCAGCAAUAUGCAGCCAGUGUGGCCGCAGCAGCGCAAGAAGGAACGCCGAGGAAGCCGAGCGCACUACUGGCCCGAAAUCUGCAACGCUAUCUAGCCCGCAUCAGAAGCCUAAUGCUUUGCAUGUGGCAUCGGAUACCCAUUGCAGCUGCUCAAGGCUCAAAAUGGCCGUGCCCGAACAUGAAUGGUGCUCACCUGCAUCGGUCGGCUCGGCUCGAAGUCAAGCCCCGGUGCACUUGCGAUUGACCGUGAUGUGGCCAUAGUAGCUCUCGACCGCACCAAGCACUCUUCGCGCGCAGAACUCGAUUCUGCUGCUAGCGCAAUUCUUUCGCUUGACGGAAACUUUUCCUCGCGGUGCCCGGGAGGGAUUCGCGCUAGGAGCUGCUAGCUCGUGACAGUGGUGGUGCUUGCCGCAGCUUUCAUGCGCAUGCGGUGGAAAUCGAGAGAGGUCGCGAACAGCCCUAGAAAUGCUCUUCUUUGCCGUCAGGUGCUCGUAGCUAAGCAGUGGGCGUAAAAGCUGUUUGUGAGAUGUCUUUGCAUCUGUUGAAUGUGCAAUAUGAGCACAGCGCGAAGCUUUUAUCCAGUGGCGGGGACAGGGUCUCGGGCGCCCAUGCAGGCGACACGCGCCCAAUCCCGAGCCUCCCACUCCUCGCCUGUACCUUGUCCCUGGACCCGCGCCAUCCGUGUCCCGCUGUUCAAUUCCCGCGUUUCAUACCAGCUCCCCUCCCCUGCGUAGGCCGGUAACCCCUGAUCCCGCCGCUGCCGGGGAUGCAGCCGUGCAGGAUGAGGUUGACGGCUGGGGAAGUUGGUGUGGGGAAGUUGGUGUAGGUUGGCGGUGAUCCAGCGGGGUGGGUGCCGAUGUGCUAUAGCGGGCGCGAGGCUGUACACGUCAGGAUCUGGCGAGUGUACUGCUCAAGCUGGCUUUGUGAUGGCCCCCAAGCGUAGGUGAGGUAGGCGCACGGCGGUGACAAGGCAUGCGGCCAGUGGAACUGCCUUACAGUUACAGCCCGCCCAAGCGCGGUUGUUGCCCUGCCAUGAUUUCCGUGCAGUCUGCUAGCUUCGGCAGGGACGGUGCCCAUCAGUUCCCGAUGUUGACAAACCAUGCAUCCAGCCGCCCACACGUGCUCUUCGUUCGUCACAUACCGUACUCGAACUCCAAUGUCCACAGAGCGUGUGCGCGAAAUCCACACGCCACACACGCAAGUGACAGCCGCCCGUCCUUGCACAGCAAGCAUCUCCGCGCACGGUCGCACGCUUCUCUAGCCCCAACGAACCGCAAACCACAAAUCAAGUCACACCCACCUCAGCAUUAGAAGUGCACACCCGCCUAUCGAAUGUCGGAUGAUGAUAAGGCAACAAGUAGGUCUACUGCACCCAUGCAUGGAUGGAAAGAAUCAAUGGACCUGUGGAUAUAGGAUCCGGCCUUCUCAAGGGUCCUCGCGCAUUUACUAAAGAGCCAAGGGGUCUAGUAUGUAAGAAUCAAUGCCAGUCUCAAGUCAAGCACACUGCUGCCGCUUCCUGGCAUCUGGAAUGCCGGAAGGGUCGGAGGAACUUGCACCCACAGAACGUACACGUCGUGUCACUGACAGCCCACUCGAGUCUUGUAAACAGUAAGAAUAGUGCCCGCUCCUGCAGCGAGCCAAGAUACGGUAACCUCGAUACUUCUUUGUGUCUCACCGCGGUACGCGCACAGACAUUAAUCUGCGGGCUCCCUCUCCGCACUCCUUCUGUCACUCCCGUGCGUCAGGUCGUUUCCGACGUCGCCUCCACUCCAUCUCCUACGUCCCAUGACUCACCUGUAGCCCCAGGCAGCCCUGCGUCCAUUGGCACAGCGCCCCUCGCCACCUGCCACCCUCUCGCUCAGCAAAUGAACGCACGCACGAUAGCAAAACACCAGCAGUCCGUAGUAUGGCCAAGGGGGGCUGCCGGUUCCCCGGUCCCAUACAGUCACACAUACAUCUUAUUAAGAAACAUCAGCAGGGUUUAUUUGGCGAGUCUCAGUAGAGAAAUAGACAUCCCUACAUCACCCAAUGCGCAUGGCAAUAUCGCACUGAGUGCUUGCUUGCGCAAGCAAUCCAGCAUCAAGUGCGGCCUUUGACACUCCCGCUCGCUCACAUACGGUGUAUUAUCAGUACAGCACGGCAACACUCGCGCGAAUCAGUCCUGUCUCCUGCGGUAAACGCCGACUACCGUAGCACGCCCUGCUGUCGUGCUGACAAUGAGAAAUGUGCGGCGGCACAGCCCUGCUGGUUCACUUGAUAGUGGGCCCGAUCAGUAGCUAGUAGCGGCGAUUUGCCUAGCCGUCUAUACUUGCACGCAUACGCUGCGGGUGUGCCUCACAUACCAUAAUACCCAGUGCUGCUUCUUUCGCAUAUAACACACGCUCAGCAUGCCCUGCUGGCUCACUUCGAUACUGUACCAUCCACACACGUACGUGUGACGAGCCCCUGUUGCAAAAGGCCGCCGGCACCACAGCUGCGGCUGCUGCGGCUGCUGCUGCCGCUGCUACUGCUGCAUCUUCAAAUGGCGAAGGCAGCAAGCCGCUGGCUGCUGGGCUCAUGCAGCUGACGGCGUAACACGGAAUGAAGCCAAACGGAACGGAGCGGCCCUUGCCGCUACCAGGCCGCCACCGCUGCCGGUGGCGGGAAGCAGCCGCACGCGCGCUCCAACGCGGCAAACUCCUCCAGCUCCCGCUCCUGCUCGGCCCACGCCGCCGCCGCCAGCUCGAUCGCCAGGCGCAGGCGCGAGGGCAUCACAGCUGACUGCCACUCAUCACCCUGCUGCACUGCCGCAAUUGGCGGAACGACACAGCUGCCCAUGCUGCUGCCGGCGGCGGUGCAGGCCUCCUUGUCAAUGCUCUGCCGCUCCGCUGCCACCUCCACCGCCUCCACCUGCUGCGGCGUCUCACUGCCUGCCGCCGCCGCCACCCAGACCAGACUGCAGCUGCUGGCGCUGCGGCUGGUGCGGGCGCUGUCCGGCACGGCGCAGCAGCACGAGCUGAGCGGCGAGUCAGGCGCGUCCGGCCGCUCAGUGACAACGGCCACCUCCUGCUCCGCUUCGGCCGCCGCCGGCACGCACUCGCCCUGGGCCUCUGCUUUCCCCAUCGCCGCCAGCUCCGCCGCCAUCCAGGGCGACAGCGAGGCGAGGUAGGCGCCGAAAUCGUCGGCCUCCUCCUCCUCGACGUCAUCCGCCCAGCGGCGGCCGCUGGGGGUGCCGCCGGUGCCGCUGGCAGAUCCCGCCGCCGCCUGCUCCGCCAGGCCCUCCUUCAACCAAUCUGCAAGCGACCCGAGGUCGAGCUCCUCCUCCUCCUCCGCCUCCUCGUGCGCCUCGACUUCAUCCGCCCAGCUACCGCUCGCGCCACCGCUGCUGCUAAUGCUGGCGCGAGGAGCAAUGCUGCUGCUGCUACUGCUGCUGCUGCUGCCGUCAGACUCUGACGCUGCCGCGGGCGCGGCCGGUGCGGCUUCCGCCUGCUGCUGCUCGGCCGCCGCGAGCUCCGCCAGUCCCUGCUUCACCCAGGGCGUCUGCUCAAAGAGGUCGCUCAGGUCGAGUCCGUCAGCCUCAUCCUCAUCAUCAUCGCCCCAUCGCGGCGUGGUCGAGCUGCGGUCGACGGUGGAGGUGGAGAUGGGGCUGGCAGCGGCGGCGGGCUUGGUCGGGGCGGCGGGCUUGGUCGGAGCCGCGAGCUUGGGCACCUUGGGCAGGCCGGGCGGCUUCUGCGGGCGCCAGUGGUUGUCGUAGGCAUGGCAAAGCUGGCAGGGGGCGCUCCUGCAGCCAGCAGAUAGGCUGGCAUAGCACCAGCGGAUGCAGAACUUGUGGGGAAAGCAGCAGGCGCUGGGGCCGGGCUCCUGCUGCUCCUGCUGGUGGGCGGCGGCGGAGGGCUCGCUCUCAUCAGAGCCAUGGCCUUGGCUGCGGGGCGUGUGGCGCCAGGCGUCCUGUGCAAACGAGAUCGGGGGAAAGGAUAGAUGGGGGCGGACAAGCCGUGAGUGCACGGGACGAGGACAAGGGUCGGGGCGCAGAGGGCGGGACAAAGGGCCGGGGGUCGGGGGCUCGAGCCCCGGCAAAAAAGUCAGGCGCACCGGAAAGGCACGCGCUUUCGGUCAAAGCUGUUGACCGACGCAUUUUACGAGACAAUACAUGCAGCAAUAUGCAGCCAGUGUGGCCGCAGCAGCGCAAGAAGGAAGGCUGAGGAAGCAGAGCGCACUACUGACCCGAAAUCUGCAACGCUAUAUAGCCCGCAUCCGAAGCCUAAUGCUUUGCAUGUGGCAUCAGAUACCCAUUGCAGCUGCUCAAGGCUCAAAAUGGCCGUGCCCGAACAUGAAUGGUGCUCACCUGCAUCGGUCGGCUCGGCUCGAAGUCAAGCCCCGGUGCACUUGCAAUUGACCGUGAUGUGGCCAUAGUAGCUCUUGACCGCACCAAGCACUCUUCGCGCGCAGAACUCGAUUCUGCUGCUAGCGCAAUUCUUUCGCUUGAUGGAGUUUCCUCGCGGUGCCCGGGAGGGAUUCGCGCUAGAAGCUGCUAGUUCGUGAUAGUGGUGGUGCUUGCCGCAGCGUUCAUGCGCAUGCGGUGGAAAUCGAGAGAGGUCGCGAACAGCCCUAGAAAUGCUCUUCUUUGCCGUCGAUAAGCUCAGGUGCUCGUAGCUAAGCAGUGGGCGUAAAAGCUGUUUGCGGGAUGUCUUUGCAUCUGUUGAUUGUGCAAUAUGAGCACAGCGCGAGAAGCUUUUAUCCGGUGGCGGGGACAGGGUCUCGGGCGCCCAUGCAGGCGACACGCGCCUAAUCCCGAGCCUCCCUCCUCGCCUUUACCUUGUCCCUGGACCCGCGCCAUCCGUGCCCCGCUGUUCACUUCCCUCGUUUCAUACCAGUUCCCCUCCCCUGCGUAGGCCGGUAACCCCUGAUCCCGCCGCUGCCAGGGAUGCAGCUGUGCAGGAUGAGGUUGACGGCUGUGGAUUGCAUUGGUUACAAGAGGGACCUGCUGACGCAGUUCACGAGCCAGUGACGUGUGGAAGUUGGUGUAGGUUGGCGGUGAUCCAGCGGGGUGGGUGCCGAUGUGCUAUAGUGGGCGCGAGGCUGUACACGUCAGGACCUGGCGAGUGUACUGCUAAAGCUGACUUUGUGAUGGCCCCCAAGCGUAGGUGAGGUAGGCGCACGGUGGUGACAAGGCAUGCGGCCAGUGGAACUGCCUUACAGUUACAGCCCGCCCAAGCGCGGUUGUUGCCCUGCCAUGAUUUCCGUGGAGUCUCUAGCUCCGGCAGGGACGGUCCCCAUCAGUUCCCGUAGUGGACCAUGCAUCCAGCCGCCCACACGUGCUCUCCGUUCGUCACAUACAGUACUCGAACUCCAAUGUCCACAGAGCGUGUGCGCGAAGUCCACACGCCACACACGCAAGUGGCAGCCGCCCGUCCUUGCACAGCAAGCAUCUCCGCGCACGGUCGCACGCUUCACUAGCCCCAACGAACCGCCUACCACAAAUCAAGUCACACCCACCUCAGCAUUAGGAGUGCACAUCCGCCUGUCGAAUGUCGGAUGAUGAUAGGGCAACAAGUAGGUCUAGAGAAAUGAAAGCUAGUAGGUCUACUGCACCCAUGCAUGGAUGGAAAGAAUCAAUGGACCUUUGGAUAUAGGAUCCGGCCUUCUCAAGGGUCCUCGCGCAUUUACUAAAGAGCCAAGGGGUCUAGUAUGUAAGAAGCAAUGCCAGUCUCAAGUCAAGCACACUGCUGCCGCUUCCUGGCAUCUGGAAUGCCGGAAGGGUCGGAGGAACUUGCACCCACAGAACGUACACGUCGUGUCACUGACAGCCCACUCGAGUCUUGUAAACAGUAGAAAUCGUGCCCGCUCCUGCAGCGAGCCAAGAUACGGUAACCUCGAUACUUCUUUGUGUCUCACCGCGGUACGCGCACAGACAUUAAUCUGCGGGCUCCCUCUCCGCACUCCUUCUGUCACUCCCGUGCGUCAGGUCUUCUCCGACGUCGCCUCCACUCCAUCUCCUACGUCCCAUGACUCACCUGUAGCCCCAGGCAGCCCUGCGUCCAUUGGCACAGCGCCCCUCGCCACCUGCCACCCUCUCGCUCAGCAAAUAAACGCACGCGCGAUAGCAAAACACCAGCAGUCCGUAGUAUGGCCAAGGGGGGCUGCCGGUUCCCCGGUCCCAUACAGUCACACAUACAUCUUAUUAAGAAAAAUCAGCAAGGUUUAUUUGGCGAGUCUCAGUAGAGAAAUAGACAUCCAUACAUCACCCAAUGCGCAUGGCAAUAUCGCACAGAGUGCUUGCUUGCGCAAGCAAUCCAGCAUCAAGUACGGCCUUUGACACUCCCGCUCGCUCACAUACGGUGUAAUAUCAGUACAGCACGGCAACACUCGCGCGAAUCAGUCCUGUGUCCUGCGGUAAACGCCGACUACCGUAGCACGCCCUGCUGUCGUGCUGACAAUGAGAAAUGUGCGGCGGCACAGCCCUGCUGGUUCACUUGAUAGUGAAUGGGCCCGAUCAGUAGCUAGUAGCGGCGAUUUGCCUAGCUGUCUAUACUUGCACGCAUACGCUGCGGGUGUGCCUCACAUACCAUAAUACCCAGUGCUGCUUCUUUCGCAUUUAACACACGCUCAGCAUGCCCUGCUGGCUCACUUCGAUACUGUGCCAUCCACACACGUACGUGUGACGAGCCCCUCUUGCGAACGGCCGUCGGCACCACAGCUGCGGCGGCUGCGGCUGCGGCUGCUGCUGCUCCUGCUGCUGCUACUGCUACUGCUGCAUCUUCAAGUGGCGAAGGCAGCAAGCCGCUGGCUGCUGGGCUCAUGCAGCUGACGGCGUAACACGGAAGCCAAACGGAACGGAGCGGCCCUUGCCGCUACCAGGCCGCCACCGCUGCCGGUGGCGGGAAGCAGCCGCACGCGCGCUCCAACGCGGCAAACUCCUCCAGCUCCCGCUCCUGCUCGGCCCACGCCGCCGCCGCCAGCUCGAUCGCCAGGCGCAGGCGCGAGGGCAUCACAGCUGACUGCCACUCAUCACCCUGCUGCACUGCCGCGAUUGGCGGAACGACACAGCUGCCCAUGCUGCUGCCGGCGGCGGUGCAGGCCUCCUUGUCAAUGCUCUGCCGCUCCGCUGCCACCUCCACCGCCUCCACCUGCUGCGGCGUCUCACUGCCUGCCGCCGCCGCCACCCAGACCAGACUGCAGCUGCUGGCGCUGCGGCUGGUGCGGGCGCUGUCCGGCACGGCGCAGCAGCACGAGCUGAGCGGCGAGUCAGGCGCGUCCGGCCGCUCAGUGACAACGGCCACCUCCUGCUCCGCUUCGGCCGCCGCCGGCACGCACUCGCCCUGGGCCUCUGCUUUCCCCAUCGCCGCCAGCUCCGCCGCCAUCCAGGGCGACAGCGAGGCGAGGUAGGCGCCGAAAUCGUCGGCCUCCUCCUCCUCGACGUCAUCCGCCCAGCGGCGGCCGCUGGGGGUGCCGCCGGUGCCGCUGGCAGAUCCCGCCGCCGCCUGCUCCGCCAGACCCUCCUUCAACCAAUCUGCAAGCGACCCGAGGUCGAGCUCCUCCUCCUCCUCCGCCUCCUCGUGCGCCUCGACUUCAUCCGCCCAGCUACCGCUCGCGCCACCGCUGCUGCUAAUGCUGGCGCGAGGAGCAAUGCUGCUGCUGCUACUGCUGCUGCUGCUGCCGUCAGACUCUGACGCUGCCGCGGGCGCGGCCGGUGCGGCUUCCGCCUGCUGCUGCUCGGCCGCCGCGAGCUCCGCCAGUCCCUGCUUCACCCAGGGCGUCUGCUCAAAGAGGUCGCUCAGGUCGAGUCCGUCAGCCUCAUCCUCAUCAUCAUCGCCCCAUCGCGGCGUGGUCGAGCUGCGGUCGACGGUGGAGGUGGAGAUGGGGCUGGCAGCGGCGGCGGGCUUGGUCGGGGCGGCGGGCUUGGUCGGAGCCGCGAGCUUGGGCACCUUGGGCAGGCCGGGCGGCUUCUGCAGGCGCCAGUGGUUGUCGUAGGCAUGGCAAAGCUGGCAGGGGGCGCUCCUGCAGCCAGCAGAUAGGCUGGCAUAGCACCAGCGGAUGCAGGACUUGUGGGGAAAGCAGCAGGCGCUGGGGCCGGGCUCCUGCUGCUCCUGCUGGUGGGCGGCGGCGGAGGGCUCGCUCUCAUCAGAGCCAUGGCCUUGGCUGCGGGGCGUGUGGCGCCAGGCGUCCUGUGCAAACGAGAUCGGGGGAAAGGAUAGAUGGGGGCGGACAAGCCGUGAGUGCACGGGACGAGGACAAGGGUCGGGGCGCAGAGGGCGGGAGCAAGGGCCGGGGGUCAGGGGCUCGAGCCCCGGCAAAAAAAUCAGGCACACACCGGAAAGGCACGCGCUUUCGGUCAAAGCUGUUGACCGACGCAUUUUACGAGACAAUACAUGCAGCAAUAUGCAGCCAGUGUGGCCGCAGCAGCGCAAGAAGGAAGGCCGAGGAAGCCGAGCGCACUACUGGCCCGAAAUCUGCAACGCUAUAUAGCCCGCAUCCGAAGCCUAAUGCUUUGCAUGUGGCAUCAGAUACCCAUUGCAGCUGCUCAAGGCUCAAAAUGGCCGUGCCCGAACAUGAAUGGUGCUCACCUGCAUCGGUCGGCUCGGCUCGAAGUCAAGCCCCGGUGCACUUGCAAUUGACCGUGAUGUGGCCAUAGUAGCUCUUGACCGCACCAAGCACUCUUCGCGCGCAGAACUCGAUUCUGCUGCUAGCGCAAUUCUUUCGCUUGAUGGAGUUUCCUCGCGGUGCCCGGGAGGGAUUCGCGCUAGAAGCUGCUAGUUCGUGAUAGUGGUGGUGCUUGCCGCAGCGUUCAUGCGCAUGCGGUGGAAAUCGAGAGAGGUCGCGAACAGCCCUAGAAAUGCUCUUCUUUGCCGUCGAUAAGCUCAGGUGCUCGUAGCUAAGCAGUGGGCGUAAAAGCUGUUUGCGAGAUGUCUUUGCAUCUGUUG